RNAcentral lists this ribosomal RNA (482 nucleotides) under uncultured bacterium. RNAcentral's name for it is "partial 16S ribosomal RNA". It matches the Rfam family "Bacterial small subunit ribosomal RNA", at positions 30 to 507 of the family's 1533-position model. The record is from RNAcentral.
AUUGAACGCUGGCGGCAUGCCUUACACAUGCAAGUCGAACGGUAACGGGCCUUCGGGUGCCGACGAGUGGCGAACGGGUGAGUAAUACAUCGGAACGUGCCCGAUCGCGGGGGAUAACGAGGCGAAAGCUUUGCUAAUACCGCAUACGAUCUACGGAUGAAAGCAGGGGACCGCAAGGCCUUGCGCGGACGGAGCGGCCGAUGGCAGAUUAGGUAGUUGGUGGGAUAAAAGCUUACCAAGCCGACGAUCUGUAGCUGGUCUGAGAGGAUGAUCAGCCACACUGGGACUGAGACACGGCCCAGACUCCUACAGGAGGCAGCAGUGGGGAAUUUUGGACAAUGGGCGCAAGCCUGAUCCAGCCAUGCCGCGUGCAGGAUGAAGGCCUUCGGGUUGUAAACUGCUUUUGUACGGAACGAAAAGCCUUCUUUUAAUACAGGAGGGUCAUGACGGUACCGUAAGAAUAAGCACCGGCUAACUACGUG